Molecule: unclassified non-coding RNA, 1133 nt
Filed under: Daphnia pulex (common water flea)
Lineage: Eukaryota; Metazoa; Arthropoda; Branchiopoda; Diplostraca; Daphniidae
Description: protein CutA homolog, transcript variant X1
Source: RNAcentral
UCGAUCGUGUGAUGUCUGCUUCUGUCAAUUCUCGGCUUCUCGCGGUCGUCUGAAAAGUGAAAAAUGAAUUAGCCCCUCGAAUAGCUAGUUGUUGUUGAUUCCGAAUUUGACAAAAUGGACUUAAUAGAAAAUAUGACAUUUCGAACACCAAAACAAAAAGCUUUGGUGUUACAACUUUAUAAAGAUCUUAAAUUCGUUAGGGGGAACGAAGAUGUGAAGAUACAUCAGUGUGAUGAGUUGGAUUUAGUGUACAUUACAGGAUACUUGCCUGAUGCUGAGAGACAACAGGAAAUCUUUUUGCCAUUAGCUGCAGAUGAAGCAAUUUCAAUGAAAAAAAUAGGAGAAGUUCAAAAAUGUCUGUUUCAUCGACACAAAUCAUCAAGACUGACUUUGGCACUAAUGGAUUCUGAUUCCACUACUGUUUAUUUUGGUGUAACACCUGGCUUAUUACCUCCAUCAGAUUUGGAGGGAGUCUUGUAUAGAAAACUUUCAAAUCACACUCACAGCAUCGUGUCGCCCAGUCUCAUCUCUAGAAUGCAUUCCAUGUCAUUUAUUACAGCCCCAAACGAAGAAGUGGCCAAAACUAUUGCCCGAGGUCUUGUUUCUGAAAAACUGGCUGCUUGUGUCAACAUAAUUCCAAAGAUCACAUCUGUGUACAGUUGGGAAGGAAAAGUUAAUGAAGAUUCAGAAGUCUUGAUGAUGGUGAAAACCAGAACUUCGAGACUACCAGAGCUAACAGAAUAUGUCAAAAAGAACCAUCCUUAUGAAGUUUGUGAAGUAAUUUCCACUGAGAUCUUACAAGGGAACAAACCAUAUUUGGAUUGGAUUUUAGAAUCUGUACCUGAAAAGGCCGAGUAAAUACUAUUGUCAUUAGGUUUUCUUCUUUUCGUCAGCCGUUAGUGCAGAACUACAAUUCCACUUCCGGAUGUCCCUUUUCUUCUGGAAUAACCCUGUCGCCUGCCCUUCUAUGUGUUCGCUAUCUGCGGCUACCUUUAUGAAUAGUUUGGGCGUGUUCGUCGUCGCCAUAUUCCACGUAAUCUACCAAUUCAGUUCCGAAGCUUUUUAAUAUUUCCACUAAAAAACCGCCUAGUUCCUCGUCGUUUGGGUCAGCUGCUGCUGCUCUUUUGCAUUCU